GCCUGGGUGGCUCAGCUGGUUAAGCAUCUGACUUCAGCUCAGGUCAUGAUCUCAUGGUUUGUGGGCUCAAGACCCACAUCAGGCU
Molecule: transfer RNA, 85 nt
Filed under: Felis catus (domestic cat)
Lineage: Eukaryota; Metazoa; Chordata; Mammalia; Carnivora; Felidae
Also listed under: 4 other names
Rfam family: tRNA
About the family: Transfer RNA (tRNA) molecules are approximately 80 nucleotides in length.
Source: Rfam by way of RNAcentral